GGAACGGAGGGCAGCCAAAAUGACCGCUGCGAAGACGCCAGCAGUCCUGCUGCGAGGGGUACGCCCACCCGGAAAUGUCUCUGUCUUGGACUUACGUUGGAUCAACGUACUGCCGCUCCACGCAAGGCUUUCUGGUGCUCUGUGAAAUUGCCAUACACUUACUACGGCAUGAGAUGUGAACAUAUCCUUAAGGAGGCCUUGACCCCCACCUACAUAGUGCAUAGUGAUCGGAUGUUCAUUUCAUUUCUACCAUUGAUGGCUCCCUGUCCUAUUAUCUCAUGAAAGACUUGCAUUAUCCAAGAUCCAUGUAAUUGCUGAACUGGGGUCAAGGAGAGAGUCCUUUGUGUAACACGGGAUGGACAUAACUCCAGCCAUGGCAAGAUGGGCUGAGAGGGCCUGGCCCUGCUGAAUGACAGCUGGGCUGUGUUCACAUCAUACAAGGAACCUGUUCAAACAAGUAUUUUGAUGGUAGUGCUGGUGGCCACACCAAAUUUCUGCCUUUCUUCCCCAUUCUUGAUACUUUGCCAGCUUGUGUUUACUCUUGACUUCUGCCACCUGGCUUUCUUGCCAACUUUCUGCCUCCAUGUGCCACCCAUUUCUCUCCUAAUUCCCCUGGAUAAGGUCAGGGGCAAAGGUGGUCAUCUGUGAGAGUCACUAUGCCUGGCACAGGAACUAACGGGGCUAGGCUUUAAAUGAAGAUUUAGUGGGGAAACAAGGAUAUGGCACCUGUGAUCUGCAACUUUGGCCCAUACAUCAUGUUUCAAAUGGUAUACAAGUAUCCUUAAACAGUCCUUGAAUACCAGCUACUCAUUUGCAAUUGGAUUUUUCUGCUCUUGGUUAAAACCUUCGGCACAGAAUUCACAUCACCAAAAACUAAGGCCCUGCUGGAAAUAACUCUCAGAGGAGUAAGGUGGAAGCCAUGUCUGCUUCUUCUCAUUUAUGUUGCACCCAUCCCUUUCUUGUGUCCUUUUUUUUUUUUUUUUUUGAGAUGGAGUCUUGCUCUGUUGCCCAGGCUGGAGUGCAGUGGCGUGAUCUUGGCUCAUUGCAACCUCUGCCUUCCAGGUUCAAGCAAUUCUCCUGCCUCAACCUCCUAAGUAGCUGGGAUUACAGAUGUGCACCAUAACGCCUGGCUAAUUUUUGUAUUUUUAGUAGAGACAAAGUUUCACCAUGUUGGUCAGGCUGGUCUCGAACUUCUGACCUCAUGAUCCACCCACCUCACCCUCCCGAAGUGCUGGGAUUACAGGCAUGAGCCACCAUGUCUGGCUGUAUAUCCUUCUUCUUGUGAGGCCUCUUGACUUCUGUAACCUAUAAAGUCCCAGUACUGCAAAGCAGCCCCUUCCUCAACGUGAUUCCAGCUCCGUUCUGAAAACAAUUCCAUGUACCCAUAGCGGCCUUAUACAAUUCCAUGUACACAAGGUUAUGGCCUUUGGUGUGUCAGACGCGUUUGUGAUAUGGCUGCCUCGUGCCUACAAAGACAGCGUGUACCUCACCAGUAUUUGCUUUCAGGUUGUUGGGGUGGAGUGUAUAAUGACGCACCUUCUCAGCAGUGUGAUUCUGUGGGCUCCAAAAGCACACUCAUCAGCCCACAAGGCUUGUCCCUGUGAGAUGUGUGUCCCUAUUACGGAAGAUAUAACAGGCAGAGCACCAAGGAAUACAUAGUGGGCAGAAAGUGUACACAUGUGGGACAUGUGAGAAACAAUUCCAUUUCAGUGCAAAUCUUUACCAACACUAGAGAGAGCACAGUGGAGAGAAAUUUUACAGCAAAGACAUGGACAGGGCCUCCUGUAGGAAGAGCUACAGAAUCUAUGCAUCGGGAAAGCCCUUCAUGUGUGGAGAGGUUGGGAAUGGCUCCCUGGCUUAUGAGGGCCUUCCUCAGCACCAGGCCACUGCCAAAGAACUGAAGCCACACUGUGGUGUACUGAGUGUGAGGAGGCCUUUCAGACUGACAAAUGUGAAUGUGGGGAAGCCUUCCACCACAAACAUACGCUUGUUCAGCACCAGAGAAUCCACACUGGAGAAGGACAGUGUGAGUGCAGUGAAUGUGGGAAAACCUUCAGCCACAAGCACACAAUUGUUCAGCACAAGACAGUCCACAAUGGAGAGAGGCCUUUUGAGUGCAGUGAAUGUGGGAAGGCCUUCGGGUUAAAAUAUAAGUUAGCAUCAGCGUACUCACACUGGAGAAAGGCCAAAACGGUGUAUUGAAUGUGGGGAAACUUUCAGGUACAAACCCAAACUUGUUCAGCACCAGAGAAUUCACAUGGAGCAAGAUGUUAUAAAUGUGCCGAAUAUGGGAAAUUCUUUUUUUUUUUUUUGAGAUGAAGUUUUGCUCUUGUUAUCCAGGCUGGAGUGCAAUGGUGCAAUCUUGGCUCACCAAACUCUGCCUCCUGGGUUCAAGCAAUUCUCCUGCCUCAGCCUCCCAAGUAGCUUGGACUACAGGCGCGCACCACCAUGCCCAGCGAAUUUUUGUAUUUUUAGUAGAGAAGGGGUUUCACCAUGUUGACCAGGAUGGUCUCGAUCUCCUGACCUUGUGAUCCACCCGCCUCGGCCUCCUAAAAUGCUGGGAUUAUAGGCUUGAGCCACCGCACCCAGCCAAAUGUGGGAGAUUCUUUACACAAAGUUCAAGUUUUGUUCAACACCAGAGAAUUCUUACUGCAUCAAGGCCUUACCAAUAUGAAUGUGGGAGAUCCUUUAGCCAAAGCCCCAUGCUCAGUCAACACCAGAGAGUUGACACUGGAGAAAGGCCUCAUGAAUGCAGCGAAUGUGGGAAAUGCUUUAGCCAAACCACAGCCUGAUCCAACACCAUAAACCACACCAGAUAAAGGCUUCAUCAAUACAGUCAAUCCAGUUUGCAGUCUACUGUAAUUCAACGACAAAAACCUUACACCCCAGAUAUUUUCAUGAAUUUCGUGAAUGCAUGAAAGCUUUUAGCCAAAGAUCUGGCCUUAUUCAACACAAGAAAUUCCACACGAGAAUGGCUUUAGGCCUUCUGGGAGUGUGCGCCUUUUUGUCAAUGUGACAGCACUAGACACCCUUUGUGAUGGAGUCAUCUGCUUGAAUUUGAACUUCAUACAUCUGAACAUCCAUUUUCAGGAGAUUCUCCAUGAAUUCCAGGUAUGUGAGACGUUUUCAGGAGUUGCAUUCUGCACUUUAACCUGUCCAGGACUCUUGCCAGAAUUAUGUGAUCGCCAGGUUCUGUCGCAGAAGCCAUCUUACCUGUAUCACCUGGCAGGUCUACACAUCAGUCAGCAGAGCAUGCUUAGAGAAGACUAAUGUUUGUGUUCUCUCUCCCAUCGUCUGGAGGAAUCAUAGUUUGAUCCCUCAGUGGACUCUUACUCUCUUAUCUCUCACUAGUUUUGGCCCAAAGGACCUAGUCAAGGUACUCCUGGUGGCUUAUAAAAUGUUGCCUUCUUCAUGGUAUUGUUUAUCUCACAUGGUAUUUUUUUAUGGAUUUUCUAGCCUCCAAGUCAUAGACCAACAAACUGCCUGACAUUGUUCUGGUCUGUGCAGUAAUAAAAAUCUAAGUCACGUUUAAUCUUUUUUUUUUUUUUUGAGAUGGAGUCUCACUCUGAUGCCCAGAACUGGAGUGUAGUGGUGCGAUCUUGGCUCACUGUAACCUCUGCCUCCCAGGUUUAAGCAAUUUCCUGCCUCAGCCUCCCAGGUAGCUGGGAUUAUAGGUACCCGCCACCACGCCCAGCUAAGUUUUGUACUUUUAGUAGAGACUGGUUUCACCAUCUUGGCCAGGUUGGUCAUCCAGGCACCUGACCUAAGUAAUGUGUAAUCUUAAGAGUUCUUGGCUAGGCACAGUGGCUGAUACCUGUAAUCCCAGCACUUUGGGAGGCCGAGGCGGGCGGAACAUGAGAUCAGGAGAUUGAGACCAUCCUGGCCAACAUGGUGAAACCCCGACUCCACUAAAAAUACAAAAAUUAGCCAGGUGUGAUGGUGCACGCCUGUAAUCUCAGCUACUAGGGAGGCUGAGGUGCGAGAAUCACUUGAACCUGGGAAGCAGAGGUUGCAAUGAGCUGAGAUAACACCCCUGCACUCCAGCCUGGUGACAGAGUGAGACUCUUUCUUAGAAAAAAAAAAAAAAUCAGUUCUCUUCACUGUAUGUGGUGGGUUGAAAAUAUAACUAGGUUCCGCCAGUGUGAAGGGGCGAGCAGUUUUUUUGAGAGCCUCAACUUUAUGUGCCUCCGAGGGAACAAUACGAUGUCUUUCCAACCUUGGAGUAAGGGAAGGUACUGAAGAGUGAGUUCAACCACCAGUGACCAGUGAUUUAGUCAAUUAAGUCUACAUAAAAAAGCCUGAAUUAAACACCCUUCACCUCACGAUUUGGGAAGCUUCUGGGUUGGUGAGCAUAUCCAUGUACUAGGAGGGGGUUGCACACCAACUCUAUGGAAACAAGGGCUUCUAAAUAUGGGAUUCUCCCUGACCUCAUCUUCAUCUGGCUGUUUGUUUGUACUCUUUUAUAAAAAGCUAAUAGUAAAAAUAGCAGUUUCGAGUUCUGUGAGUUAUUCCAACAAAUUACUAGACUUGGUGAGGGUUGGGGCUGGAUCAUGAGAACAAUUUGUAGUUCACCUGGCAGAAGUGUAGGUAGCAUGGAGACCUCAUCUGCAGCUGGUAUCUGAAGUGAGGACAGUCCUGUGGGAUUAAAUUCUUAACCUGGUGAGGUCUGUGCUACUGGGUAAUUAGUGCUAGAGCUGAAUUAAAUUUGUAGGUUACCCAAUUUUUGUCAGAGAAUUGAUGUAGAAAUGGCAAAUUUGGUGUCAGAAAAAAACACAUUUGGUGUCAGAAAAUGUGGGAAUUUGUAGAAGGGCCCUGACUCAUAAGUAAACUUGGUUUUGAAAGAGAAAGGAUGACAGGGGAAAUGAGGAACCUUUAGUUCCUGGAUAGCCAUCUAAUUUUCCAUGGUAUGAAACUGAAUCUUCUCUGUAACCAGUUACUAAAGGCAAAAAUUACCAGUAGAUUUUAGAAAUGGUUAUAUAGAUCCAACUUUCAAGUAGAUGGCUCAUCGGAUACCUAAGGAAAUGCAAACAAAACCUGCCAAACAUAUAAUCCUGUACUUAAUGUUACCCAAAAUAGCUCAUUUUUUUUUUUUUUUGAUACAGAGUUUCACUCUUGUUGCCCAGGCUGGAGUGCAAUGGUGCAAUCUCAGCUCACUGCAACCUCCACCUCCAGGGUUCAAGUGAUUCUCCUGCCUCAGCCUCCCGAGUAGCUGGGAUUACAGACAUGCGCCACCAUACCUGGCUAAUUUUGUAUUUUUAGUAGACAGGAUUUUUCAGUGUUGGUCAGGCUGGUCUCAAACUCCCGACUUCAGGUGAUCCUCCCACCCUGGGUUCCCAAAGUGCUGGCAUUACAGGCGUGAGUCACUGUGCCCAGCCAGAACAGCUAAAAUUUAAAGAGUGCCAAGUCAGACCAUGAUGCUUGACCAAGCUCAGACUGUCAUUUGUCUGAGCUUCGGCUACUAGGUUCAGAGCCACCCACAAAGGGGAAAAAUAUACCGGGAUAACAGAGAGCACCUCUAAGACCUAACCGGUAAGGUCACAAGAAGGUAGUCCGUGUGAAGGAAGAACAAAAGCAGCAAACCACUGAAACCAGAGGGUAUAAUGAGAAGGGGCUGUCUUGCUUUUUAGAACAGUAUCAUCGGUUUGAAGAAUCUUUGCUAAAAUGAAGUGUGAGAGGGACUGAAUUAGGAACGGUAUCUUCGGCUCUGAAUGCUGCAGAAUGGAAAAGCAGGUUUGCGUUGGUAUUGGACCCACAGCUAACCUGAGCAAUCGCAGGGAGUUUCGCAUCACACUGCAGAUGGCUAUCCAUGAUCCACACAUACAGUGGUUUAUUUAUGUGGCAACGAACUGCUGAUGAACUGUCAGGUAUGUCUACUCUGAGAAGGGACACUUCAGACUCCCCGAUAAAUGCCAAGUGGAACACCCCAGUGGAAGCAGCUGAUCCACUUUCUAUGCAGGGCCUGUAGGACUGGCUUUAUGAUGACCAGGAUAUUCACCCACUGAAAAUGUCUGUUUCUCGGAUUAUGGCAAACGCUGUGAGGAAAGAGGUCGCCUUUGCAUGGGUACCCAUUGUAAUCUUAACUGCUACAAAACUGACCAGUCUGAGAAGCCUUAUUGGAUUUGUCUCAGGUUCCCUGUGUGGGUCUUAUGGAUAUCAACACCACUGAUUAACGUAAGAGGGAGAGAAGCGGGCAGGGCAGGGGGAGCAGAGUCAAGAGACGUGACUUUCGAGUGCAGCAGGAUUUCAGUAGUUUCGUGGGUUUCUCCUCCUCUCACAUGGGCUACCUUUUUACUGACCAGAGAGGUCUUAGACUUGCUCUCUGUUGGACCCAGGAUAUUUUUUUCCUUUGGCAGGUGGCUUUAGAUCUAGCAGGUUUCAACAGUGAAGUAUUUUUUUUAUUAUUUUUCUUGGGUGGGGACAUAGCCAAAGCGAAAAGUCUUUAGAUUAUUGGGAAAUGGAAUGCGUAUAGUAAAAAUGGAUGGGAUUGAAACAAAGAUUUGAUCCGGUACUGCUGAAGGUCGGGUGGACCUGUAUGGGCUCUGUGCUAACUGGGUAGUGUCGGAACUGAAUCGCAGGACACCCACUUAGUUUGGAAAAUUGAAUUGGUGUUGUAACAGCAUGGGGUAUCAAAAGCAGUCACAUUCUGCAGAUGGCUUUGUAGGAAAGACUGCAGGGGUUUGUGGUCCUGGUUUAAGACCUCGAUACCAGGAUAUUUUUGUAGUCCCAGAGAUCACCCUGAGGAGGGUAUAAUUGUUCUGACAACCUACAGGGAUUCUGGGAGAAGCAUGUAUUCGUUUGUUUUCAUAGGAUGUCACAUAAUGCCCAACAUUGUUAAAAAGAAGCUAUUUCUCACGUCCUGCAACAGAAACAUGUGUCCUGGUUUCCGGAAUUCAGUUGGCUACUUUUUUUUUUUUGAGGCAGAGUCUCGCUCUGUCACCCAGGAUGGAGUACAGUGGCGUGAUCUCGGCUCACUAUGACCUCCGCCUCCUGGGUUCAAGUGAUUCUCCUGCCUCAGCCUCCAGAAUAGCUGGGACUACAGGCGCGCACCACUACACUCAGCUAAUUUUUCAUAUUUUUAGUAGAGACAGAGUUUCACCAUGUUGGCCAGGCUGGUCUUGAACUCCUGUCCUUGUGAUCCACCCGCCUCAGCCUCCAAAAGUGCUGGGAUUACAGGCAUGAGCCACCACGCCCGGCCCAGUUGGCUAUUUGUAAGACUACAGGUGCCAAAGGAAACUGAUUUCUACAGAUACUUGGCAUUAAUAAGCAGUGGAGGAGACUGCAGUAAACUAGAGGGAACAUCCCUCUUCUAAAAGUGCAGCCACAAAUAUUUCAGUGACCAUCAUGUCUGUUCAGGAGGAGCAAGGAGAGACGUUCUUAGGACCUCUGUACCUGCAUUUUCUGCAGCUGGGGUAACUGUCAGAGCUAAUGAACUCAAAGUUUUAUGGACUCCUAUAACCUCUGCAUUUCACCGUAAGGUCAUGGCUGCAUUGUCGAGAAAAUGAUGGCAGAUGCCUUUGGUUUGGGAAUAUGGGUUUUGUGACCAGCCAGCAUUCCUGUUGACUGAGAAAUGAUCAUCUUUGGUCAGCAGUAUUUUCUGCUACUGAUGAAGGACUGCUCUUUCUAGGGCAACAAGAGAGGUGAUGGAGGAAACAUAGGAUUGUCAAACUUUCUGGUUUUCUCAAGAGGGGGAUAAUCUAGACUUACUUUAAACCACCUGCAUUUUUAAAAACGUGGGGCAUAUAUAUAAACUCAUGAAACUACUAUGAUAAUGAACAAGUUCAUCAUCUUCAUAAUCAUCCUGUACCCUUCUAGACUCUAUCCUGCCUCUGAACUCCCCAGCACUCCAGGUUAUUUAUUUACUUUCACUUUGUUUCCAUUUCCUCUUUUUUUUUUUCUUUCUAUUUCUAAAUGUAAACAAAUGUUUGCAUUUCCUAAAUUUUAAGAGAUGGGGUCUCGCUAUGUUGCCCAGGCUGGAGUUCAGUGGCUAUUCACAGGUGCGAUCCCACUACUGACCAGCGCGGGAGUUUUGACCUGCUCAGUUUCUGACCUGGGCCGGUUCACCCUCCUUAGGCAACUUGGUGGUCUCCUGCUCCCAGGAGGUCACCAUAUUGAUGCCGAACUUAGCAUGGCCACUCGAUCGGCAUAGUGCAUUACAGCCCAGAACUCCUGGGCUCAAGCGAUCCUCCCAUCUCAGCUUCCCGAGUAGCUGGGACUACAGGCACAUGCCACCGUGCCCAGCACAUUACCUAAAAUUUUAUGUGGUUGCAAUCACAAAGCAUGGACCUUCAAAAAAAAAUUCUGAGGUUCUUCACACUGCAUAAUUAUUUUGAGAUAUUUUCAGUGAUGUUUAUUUGAAUAGUUCAUUCUUUUUAUUGCUAAUAGUCUGUCCUAUGGAUAUACCACUAAUUGUUUAUCCAUUCAUCUGUUAAUGGACAUUUAAAUAAAGUGGUGUAUUUAUAGUUUGAUAUUAAGAUACAAGCUUAAACUUUUGAAACCAAAAAAUUCUUUCUGCCCUUUUACCUGAUCCACCUUACCAUGUGAGAUACAGACAUACAGUAUACUUUUUACUGGGUAGUUUCAAAUGGGAACAAACGGAAUGCGUUAUGAAGCUCCAUGACCAUUUUCAAUGAUCAGUAAUGAUUAAAUGACUAUGAUCCUUAUUACUGAACAUUUCAUACCUGUUCUUGUUUCAUCUAUCUCCAAACAUAUUACUGGGUUGUUUUACUCAUAAUCGAGGUAUCAUGUCAUUUAAUCCCUACGCUCUUCAGUAUGCAUUUCCAAUGUGUUUUUUUUUUUUUUUUUGAGACGGAGUUUCGCUCUUGUUACCCAGGCUGGAGUGCAAUGGCACGAUCUCGGCUCACCGCAACCUCCGCCUCCUGGGUUCAGGCAAUUCUCCUGCCUCAGCCUCCCGAGUAGCUGGGAUUACAGGCACGCGCCACCGUGCCCAGCUAAUUUUUUUGUAUUUUUAGUAGAGAUGGGGUUUCACCAUGUUGACCGGGAUGGUCUCGAUCUCUUGACCUCGUGAUCCACCUGCCUCGGCCUCCCAAAGUGCUGGGAUUACAGGCUUGAGCCACCGUGCC
Non-coding RNA from Callithrix jacchus (white-tufted-ear marmoset), 9080 nucleotides. Lineage: Eukaryota; Metazoa; Chordata; Mammalia; Primates; Cebidae. The record is from RefSeq and is a predicted model, not a curated record.